Lepidothrix coronata (blue-crowned manakin) is the source of this 116-nucleotide long non-coding RNA. RefSeq lists it as uncharacterized. NCBI's taxonomy places the organism in Eukaryota, Metazoa, Chordata, Aves, Passeriformes, Pipridae. The transcript has 2 exons. The record is from RefSeq and is a predicted model, not a curated record.
CUGAAAUGUCAAUAAAUAUUACAACACAGUAGAAUUGGUUAUACUGUUAUUUUAUUACUGUAUAGAGGUAAAUAUUGUGGAGCUGGUAGGAUUUGUUUGAAUAAUUUUAAUAAUAA